This 576-nucleotide ribosomal RNA is filed under the name uncultured fungus. RNAcentral's name for it is "eukaryotic LSU rRNA". The stretch from base 167 to 576 matches the Rfam family "Eukaryotic large subunit ribosomal RNA", at positions 1 to 421 of the family's 3401-position model. The record is from RNAcentral. Lineage: Eukaryota; Fungi.
AACGAAUCGCGAUACGUAUUACGACUUGCAGACGUGAGGCAUCAAUCUUUGAACGCACAUUGCGCCUUGGAGCAUUCUCCAAGGCAUGCCUGGGUGAGCGUCGAUUUUCCUCAGGCCCCCCCCGGCCUGGUUUUGUCGCGCAACUCCACAAUCAAGAUUACCGUCUUGACCUCAUCCAGGUAGGACUACCCGCUGAACUUAAGCAUAUCAAUAAGCGGAGGAAAAGAAACCAACCGGGAUUGCCCCAGUAACGGCGAGUGAAGCGGCAAAAGCUCAAAUUUGUAAUCCUGCGGGAGUUGUAAUUUGAAGGCCGGCAGCGCCGCCAGAACGUCUUUCGAAGUCCAUUGGAACAUGGCGCCAGGGAGGGUGACAGCCCCGUGCGAAAGAAGGUUUUGGUGGAGCUCGUUGCCGACCAAAGAGUCGAGUUGUUUGGGAAUGCAGCUCAAACAGGUGGUAAAUCCCAUCUAAAGCUAAAUACCGGCGAGAGACCGAUAGCGAACAAGUACAGUGAUGGAAAGAUGAAAAGCACUUUGAAAAGAGAGUGAAACAGUACGUGAAAUUGCUGGGAGGGAAGUA